This 71-nucleotide transfer RNA is filed under the name Ovis aries (sheep). It matches the Rfam family "tRNA". From Rfam's summary of the family: Transfer RNA (tRNA) molecules are approximately 80 nucleotides in length. The record is from Rfam by way of RNAcentral. Lineage: Eukaryota; Metazoa; Chordata; Mammalia; Artiodactyla; Bovidae.
UUCCAGGUGACUCAGUGGUAAAGAACCUGCCUGCCAAGCAGGAGAUAUGGGUUCCAUCCCUGGCUUGGGAA